CCUACGGGCGGCAGCAGUGGGGAAUAUUGGACAAUGGGCGAAAGCCUGAUCCAGCCAUGCCGCGUGUGUGAAGAAGGCCUUCGGGUUGUAAAGCACUUUCAGUGGGGAAGAAAGCCUUGGGGCUAAUACCCUCGAGGAAGGACAUCACCCACAGAAGAAGCACCGGCUAACUCCGUGCCAGCAGCCGCGGUAAUACGGAGGGUGCGAGCGUUAAUCGGAAUUACUGGGCGUAAAGCGCGCGUAGGCGGUCUGAUAAGCCGGUUGUGAAAGCCCCGGGCUCAACCUGGGAACGGCAUCCGGAACUGUCAGGCUAGAGUGCAGGAGAGGAAGGUAGAAUUCCCGGUGUAGCGGUGAAAUGCGUAGAGAUCGGGAGGAAUACCAGUGGCGAAGGCGGCCUUCUGGACUGACACUGACGCUGAGGUGCGAAAGCGUGGGUAGCAAACAGGAUUAGAUACCCCAGUAGUC
This 465-nucleotide ribosomal RNA is filed under the name Vreelandella stevensii. RNAcentral describes it as "partial 16S ribosomal RNA". It matches the Rfam family "Bacterial small subunit ribosomal RNA", at positions 338 to 795 of the family's 1533-position model. The record is from RNAcentral. Lineage: Bacteria; Pseudomonadati; Pseudomonadota; Gammaproteobacteria; Oceanospirillales; Halomonadaceae.